RNAcentral lists this ribosomal RNA (440 nucleotides) under uncultured bacterium. RNAcentral describes it as "partial 16S ribosomal RNA". It matches the Rfam family "Bacterial small subunit ribosomal RNA", at positions 338 to 795 of the family's 1533-position model. The record is from RNAcentral.
CCUACGGGUGGCUGCAGUGAGGAAUAUUGGGCAAUGGGGGCAACCCUGACCCAGCCACGUCGCGUGAGUGAAGAAGGUCUUCGGAUUGUAAAGCUCUUUCGGACGUGACGAUGAUGACGGUAGCGUCUAAAGAAGCACCGGCAAACUUCGUGCCAGCAGCCGCGGUAAUACGUAGGGGGCGAGCGUUGAUCGGAAUUACUGGGCGUAAAGGGAGUGUAGGGGGAUAUGUAAGUUAUCGGUGAAAUGCCGGGGCUCAACCCCGGAACUGCCAUUGAGACUGUGUAUCUAGAGUAAUGGAGAGGAUGGCGGAAUGCCCAGUGUAGAGGUGAAAUUCGUAGAUAUUGGGUAGAACACCGGUGGCGAAGGCGGCUAUCUGGCCAUUUACUGACGCUGAGGCUCGAAAGCAUGGGGAUCAAACAGGAUUAGAUACCCGAGUAGUC